This 490-nucleotide ribosomal RNA is filed under the name uncultured bacterium. RNAcentral's name for it is "partial 16S ribosomal RNA". It matches the Rfam family "Bacterial small subunit ribosomal RNA", at positions 30 to 507 of the family's 1533-position model. The record is from RNAcentral.
AUUGAACGCUGGCGGCAUGCCUUACACAUGCAAGUCGAACGGCAGCAUGAUCUAGCUUGCUAGAUUGAUGGCGAGUGGCGAACGGGUGAGUAAUACAUCGGAACGUGCCCUGUAGUGGGGGAUAACUAGUCGAAAGAUUAGCUAAUACCGCAUACGACCUGAGGGUGAAAGUGGGGGACCGCAAGGCCUCAUGCUAUAGGAGCGGCCGAUGUCUGAUUAGCUAGUUGGUGAGGUAAAGGCUCACCAAGGCGACGAUCAGUAGCUGGUCUGAGAGGACGAUCAGCCACACUGGGACUGAGACACGGCCCAGACUCCUACGGGAGGCAGCAGUGGGGAAUUUUGGACAAUGGGCGAAAGCCUGAUCCAGCAAUGUCGCGUGUGUGAAGAAGGCCUUCGGGUUGUAAAGCACUUUUGUCCGGAAAGAAAUGGCUCUGGUUAAUACCUGGGGUCGAUGACGGUACCGGAAGAAUAAGGACCGGCUAACUACGUG